RNAcentral lists this ribosomal RNA (632 nucleotides) under Lactobacillus gasseri. RNAcentral's name for it is "bacterial SSU rRNA". It matches the Rfam family "Bacterial small subunit ribosomal RNA", at positions 379 to 1004 of the family's 1533-position model. The record is from RNAcentral. Lineage: Bacteria; Bacillati; Bacillota; Bacilli; Lactobacillales; Lactobacillaceae.
AAGUCUGAUGGAGCAACGCCGCGUGAGUGAAGAAGGGUUUCGGCUCGUAAAGCUCUGUUGGUAGUGAAGAAAGAUAGAGGUAGUAACUGGCCUUUAUUUGACGGUAAUUACUUAGAAAGUCACGGCUAACUACGUGCCAGCAGCCGCGGUAAUACGUAGGUGGCAAGCGUUGUCCGGAUUUAUUGGGCGUAAAGCGAGUGCAGGCGGUUCAAUAAGUCUGAUGUGAAAGCCUUCGGCUCAACCGGAGAAUUGCAUCAGAAACUGUUGAACUUGAGUGCAGAAGAGGAGAGUGGAACUCCAUGUGUAGCGGUGGAAUGCGUAGAUAUAUGGAAGAACACCAGUGGCGAAGGCGGCUCUCUGGUCUGCAACUGACGCUGAGGCUCGAAAGCAUGGGUAGCGAACAGGAUUAGAUACCCUGGUAGUCCAUGCCGUAAACGAUGAGUGCUAAGUGUUGGGAGGUUUCCGCCUCUCAGUGCUGCAGCUAACGCAUUAAGCACUCCGCCUGGGGAGUACGACCGCAAGGUUGAAACUCAAAGGAUUGACGGGGGCCCGCACAAGCGGUGGAGCAUGUGGUUUAAUCGAAGCAACGCGAAGAACCUUACCAGGUCUUGACAUCCAGUGCAAACCUAAGA